This 65-nucleotide transfer RNA is filed under the name Cavia porcellus (domestic guinea pig). It matches the Rfam family "tRNA". From Rfam's summary of the family: Transfer RNA (tRNA) molecules are approximately 80 nucleotides in length. Their secondary structure includes four short double-helical elements and three loops (D, anti-codon, and T loops). Lineage: Eukaryota; Metazoa; Chordata; Mammalia; Rodentia; Caviidae. The record is from Rfam by way of RNAcentral.
GAUUUAGCUCAGUGGUACAGCACCUGCCUGGCAAGUAUGAGGUCCUGAGUUCCAUUCUCAGUAUC